GUGGACCACGCGUGCAUUGCGGUGCUGAGCGCGCCGCCCGCACCAUCUGACGGCCGCUCGCUACGCGUUGGGAGUC
Molecule: small RNA, 76 nt
Filed under: Xanthomonas arboricola
Lineage: Bacteria; Pseudomonadati; Pseudomonadota; Gammaproteobacteria; Lysobacterales; Lysobacteraceae
Description: sRNA sX9
Rfam family: Xanthomonas sRNA sX9
Source: RNAcentral